AGGUUAAUUAAAGCGGCAAUUCUGGGAGAACUCAGAAGAUGACAUAAAAAGAGUUGUGUUGGUAGCCACAGAUAGCUUUUCACUCAUUACGUACAGCAUAUUUGGUUGAGAAGAUUCGGCAAAGAGGCCAUUAUCAAGUUUUAAUUUACAACAAGGCCACUCAUUUUCUUUUUCAUUUAUUUUUUCGGAUUAAGGUUUAGAAAAUGGGGCAUGGGGCACAUUUCAUAAUUUUUAAAAGUUUGGAUGUUUAAACUUAUACUCUUAAGUCCCUUUCAAUUCUCUUAAAAUAUUCAUUUCUCUUCUUAGCUUGGAACUCUCAAACUUCCAGCCGAAUCUUCCUCUCCCCCAAGCUCCAAUAAUCUUUAGUUGUCGUACCAAGAUCGCAUAAAUGCCUAUGUGUAGAGGAAGAGGAGGAAUAAUACUCCCCCAUUCUUGUGAUAUGGUCCAAACCUGUUCUAAUUCGAAUCAGAAGGAAAAAAAAAGUGGUGAAGAAGUUAGCCGAGAUGGAAAAAAGAAAAAGAAGUGCAGAAGCUGCGAGUCAGUCCUACUCAGACCCCAUGGAUGAGUGUAGUGUGGAUGUUGAUGAAGGAGAUAGAGUUGAGAGUGAUGGUUUCUGCGGAUAGUUCAAAGCAUUCUAGUGCUGCUGAAGAUGUUGAUCCUUUGUUCUUGCCAUAUUGUGCAAAGACAAUUAAUGUUGAAAAGUAUGGUUUGAUUAAUUGGUUGGAUGGUUAUAAUUCUUUUCCAGCAAAAGUUACUGUUAGGAGCAGGCUGAACUUGUUAGCUGACUUUAACAAAGUGUUGAGAGAUCAAAAACUAAGGAAAAUGCGGAAGCAUUCCAGUUUUGGUCAGUUUAGAAAACUAUCAAAAUUCUUCAUCAAUUUCAAUGGAUGGAUGAUCUACUAUCUGCUUCUUCGCCAUGUCGUAGAGAAUAAGAAGCGUGAAAUGUGGUUCCUCGUGAACGACAAGCCUGCGUGUAUUGGUUUGAAGGAGUUUGCGUUGAUCACCAAUUUAAAUUGUGGAUCCUACCCCAGCCAAUUUAGAGAGGACAUGACAAUUAAGAAAGAGGCGGCAUUCUACUCAAAGGUUACUCGAAACAAGAUGAUUUCAUCAGAAAAGCUAUUGUCAAUGAUAAGAGGGCCUAGGCUAAAUAAAGAAGAAAAGCUAAAAUGUUGUCUUGUGUGGUUUUUGCAUACAAUUUUGAUGGCCAAAUAUGUGUCCAGGGGUGUGGACCAUCAUAUGAUUAAAAUGGCUGACAAUUUGGAAUUCUUUCAGAGCUAUCCUUGAGGAAAGGAAUCCUUUGAACUCACCUUGGAAUACUUGAAGAACAAGGUAGACGUUCUCAGGCACUACCAAACCCACGUUGAUAAGAAGAUGCCAUCAUAUGCUCUCUACGGCUUCCCCUCGGCAUUCAUGGUCUGGGUUUAUGAAGCUUUCUCCACACUUGGACUGCAUGCUGGCAAAUCAGAUGAGGUUCCUUUGCCUAUUUCUAGGAUGUUGUAACACCUCGUACCUCUUAACUAAGUUUAUGAUUCGAGACUUAGAAACCAACACGGAGUGUGUUGAUAUUGAAAUCGCCUCAGAAUGGUAAAAGUACAUCCACGUCAAAAUGUACAGGCCGUACAUUUUUGUUCAAGACAUGCUUAUUGAACGUACCUUACAGGGGAAAAUCAGAAGUCACUAGAAUUUGACAAUUCCAGGUACGGCCUGAAUGUACGGGACAUACAUUAUUGUACGGGUCGUACAUCUUGGCCGUACAAUUUGUACGAGACAUACUUUAAAGCACGGGCUGUAAUUUUCAUCACGUACCUCACAGACUAAAAAUCACAGCUUCUAGAAAUUGACAUACGAGGUACGUCCAUAAUGUAAGGGACGUACAAUGUAUGGGCCGUACAUUUGGAGUGUACUUUCCCUGCUUCAGCAAAUAGUAUAAAUACGUGAGUUCAUUUUUUAAUCCCACUUUUCAUAUUCCCAAUCCCUAGCACGAAGUUCUUCUCCUCCUACCAUCAAGAUACACUAAGGUAAGGUUAUUCCAAGCCUUUCAAGUGAAUUCUAACAUGUAUCCAUGAUUUCUAAACAAGAAUCCAUUGUUCCUAACCUAGAGGUUUCAAGAAAACCUAUCUCAAGGCUCAAGGUUCAUGCUUUUGAAAUUCUAUUACAAGUUUUGGAGUGUUUACAGGUAUGUAAGGUUUCUAUCUACAUGUGGGAACAUUAUUGUUCUUCCCCACGCCGCGUUCUUCCAUGAUUAUACGAAAGUUCACCAAAACUAGGAUUCUAGACAUGUUCAUGAUAACCCUAAGUACAUGUACCAUGAUAUACCAUGUUUGCUUUAAUAGUUCGUUAUUGUGUUCUUAAUAUUCCCUUUUGGUUAUUGAGGUCUGUCUGUAAUCCAUGAAAACUCAUACUUUGCAUUCCAUGGGUUCUAAAAUGCAAGAUAUGAACUUUUGUGUUUAUUUUCAUAAACUUCUACAUGCUUCCAUGUUUUCAUACAAGCUAUACUACAUAUCUAUCUUCAUGUUACAAUAUAAUCACGAAUCAUGUUUACAAUCAUGUUUAUAUAGUUCAUGGGCUACCAAGCCAAUUAUAUCCAUGUUGAUGUUUUAGGAGUGGCACAAAUUACCGAUAAAGCUCAGAUAGCCUGAAACUACGUAUGCCAGCGUAGGAUAAGGAUCGCUCCGCUCAAUUAGGACGAUUCCUUCAGGCUUACUCAUUGCUAUUUAUUGGAUCCAUUCAUGUCAUGUUCAUCUCUUGUACCCCGACAAGGUAUAGGAUGGCUUAGCUGAUCUGGCAGAGAUCAGACGCCACGUGCUUAAGUGGUGGUUACAUGUCGGUUAUACUAAUGCUCUCCCACAGAUAUAUUUACAGACUUAAAAUAUUUUAUUCAUAUUAUACAUAUUCAUGUCCAUGUUCAGUUUACAGAUACAGUUUCAAUUUCAGUUCCGUUAUUUCAUGUACCAUGCUUAUUUCAUUCAGUUGUUUUAUAUACUAGUACAAUUCGAAUGUACUAACGUCCCAUUUAUUUUCCUAGGGGCAUGCACUUCACGAUGCAAAUUUACAGGAUGACGAUUCAACUCGUUCGGACUAUGCACGUACCAACUAUUGGUGAGCCCCGUCUCAUUUGGGGUUUAUCUUUAUUUAUUUAUUGUCAGUUAUGCAGUAAAGGUAUGCUGGGGGCCUUGUCCCGGAAAACAGUUUAGCAGUCAGACUCAUGUCAGAGGUUUCAUAGACUAGACUAGUUCAGUUAUGUCAUGUCAAAUAUUCAGAAUCGUAUAGCCAGUAUUGGCUCAACAUUUAUCAUUUAAUUUCAGACUUAUGAUUUAUUAACAUAUGCUUCAUCUCCACCAUGCAUGUUAUAGUAUAUUUCGCAUCAGUACAUGACCCAUGUUGAUUCAGCAAGCCAUGUUGUUCGUUCGGUCACAUGCAGCAAGGCACCGAGUGUCGUGUUACCCCCAGGCCAUGGUUCGAGGCGUGACAGAUGCUUAGGUGGCACUACAAAAAAAUGGGUAAUUUGCGGAGGUUGAAAGUUGCAAUUCGCGGAGGUUAAAACCUCCACUAGUUGCUAUAAGAGGCUAAAACCUCCGUGAAUUGCAACUUUCAACCUCCACAAAUUACCCAUUUUUUUAUAGUGUGACACACCACAAAAAUGGAGCGAUUUACUGAAGGUGAUCCGUUUAGGAUUCGAGCUGGAGUUUCACAAGUUGUGCGUGCUUACAUCAUCCCUACAAUGUGUGAGCUGGAGCAGGACUACAUGAAAGACUUCUUGGCAUUUGAUGAUAAGGAUCCAAUCAUAGAUAAAUUGAAGCAUGAAUUGGAAGGUAUGACUGUAUUGGUUACACCAAAUAAUGGCUCGAAGGCUCCUAGUAGGUUGUAAAAGGAGCCCAAGGAGAAUUCUGAUAAGGAGGAUACUCAGCAUGCCUCGAAGCCUUGUAGUAGAUGUGGAAGAGAGACCAAGGAGCUCUCAUUUGAUGGGUAAGAUAUGCAUUCAGAAGAUUUAGGUGGUAAUGUUUCUUGGGACGUCUAGGGGUCGUGCCGCACAAAGUGGGGGCCCAUCAGUGCAGAUAGAGCUGGUCGAAUUGCAGCAGCAUGUGGAUAAAAUGGAGGAGUCUCUGAAUGUUCUUCUCGCUUAUGUGGAGGCGGAAAAAUUUAGAAGGAGCAUGAAGGCGAAGAAUAAGCAAGAGAAUCUCAAAGAGAAAGUGCCAGCACUUGUGGAACGAUCUGCUAUCAACAAAGUGAAUGUACGUGCUGAGCGAACUGCUAAGAUCCCUAGUCCAGCUGCCGAGGUUAAGCAGGUUGAUAUCCCUAGACCAAUUACUGUUAUUGAGAAGGUUGAGGUCACUAGACCAGCUUCUGAAGUUAAGAAACUUGAGAAGGUUAAGCUCUCUAUGCCUGUUGCUCAAGCUGAUAUGGCAGCAGAUGUUCCUGUGCCAACUGUUGAAGUUGAAAAGGCAAAAGAUCUCCCUGCUCAUGUUAAUGAGAAGGAUGCUAGUGAGACAAGUCAAGCUGAUGUUGAGUUUGACUCUGAAAAAGUUGUGUCAGGCGUCCUCGCCCAGAUUAAUUGUUCUUUGGACAAGUGAAUUGGCAUUUGGGUUGUAAAAAAAUGAGUAUUUUUUGUUGGAUGUGUGGUGGAGGAUGAUAAACAUUGACUACUACUGCUUAAUAUGACUGUUUUGGUGUUUUGAUCACUACUAAUGCUUAAUAUGAGUAUUGUGUAUC
RNA transcript from Lycium barbarum (goji berry), 4710 nucleotides. RefSeq lists it as uncharacterized. Lineage: Eukaryota; Viridiplantae; Streptophyta; Magnoliopsida; Solanales; Solanaceae. The record is from RefSeq and is a predicted model, not a curated record. The transcript has 5 exons.